RNAcentral lists this ribosomal RNA (241 nucleotides) under uncultured Actinomycetes bacterium. Its description in RNAcentral is "uncultured actinobacterium partial 16S ribosomal RNA". It matches the Rfam family "Bacterial small subunit ribosomal RNA", at positions 28 to 276 of the family's 1533-position model. Lineage: Bacteria; Bacillati; Actinomycetota; Actinomycetes. The record is from RNAcentral.
GACGAACGCUGGCGGCGUGCUUAACACAUGCAAGUGGAGCGACGAACCGGGGCUUGCCCCGGGGCAGAGCCGCGAACGGGUGAGUAACACGUGGGUUACCUGCCCUGAUGACCGGGACAACCCGUCGAAAGACGGGCUAAUACCGGAUGUGCCCGCAAGGGGAAAGGAGGCGUAAGCUUCCGCAUCGGGAUGGGCCCGCGGAGCAUUAGCUUGUUGGUGAGGUAAAAGCUCACCAAGGCUU